UACAGAGGGUGCAAGCGUUGUUCGGAAUUAUUGGGCGUAAAGCGCGUGUAGGCGGCUUUGCAAGUCGGGUGUGAGAGCCCUCGGCUCAACCGAGGAAGUGCGCCCGAAACUGCAGAGCUUGAGUACCGGAGAGGAUGGCGGAAUUCCCCAAGUAGAGGUGAAAUUCGUAGAUAUGGGGAGGAACACCGGUGGCGAAGGCGGCCAUCUGGACGGAUACUGACGCUGAGACGCGAAAGCGUGGGUAGCAAACAGG
Molecule: ribosomal RNA, 253 nt
Filed under: uncultured bacterium
Lineage: Bacteria
Description: partial 16S ribosomal RNA
Rfam family: Bacterial small subunit ribosomal RNA
Source: RNAcentral